Molecule: small nuclear RNA, 126 nt
Organism: Aotus nancymaae (Ma's night monkey)
Lineage: Eukaryota; Metazoa; Chordata; Mammalia; Primates; Aotidae
Source: Ensembl
ACCAUCCUUUUCUUGGGGUUGUACUACUGUCCAGUGAGUACAUAGUGAGGGCAGUACUGCUAACACCUACACAACAUGCCUCCAUCAUCUAGAACUUUGCUUUACUUUGGUACAAUUUUUGGAAAA